Molecule: non-coding RNA, 672 nt
Organism: Manis javanica (Malayan pangolin)
Lineage: Eukaryota; Metazoa; Chordata; Mammalia; Pholidota; Manidae
Source: RefSeq, a predicted model, not a curated record
AAGAGAAGACAGUGGAGCAGUGCAGGGUCUAGUCAACCCGGGAGAGGCUGUGGAAUGUUCCAGCUGGCAGGCAGGAGCCCUGAUGGGUAUUUCCAGCCCCAAACCCAGGGAGUAAUAACAAGAGGGUGCUGUGAUUGUCCCCACUAUACAAGGCAGAAGCCCUGGCACAAGAAUUGGUAAGCUGUCCAGGUGAAUAAGCAGCAGACAGAAUCUGAACCCCAAGACGCAUGCCCUGGACCACUGUGAUACACUGUUUCUAGAUCAACGGCACAGUGAAAGCUACAAUCAGUUUACAAACCUGUAUUACGCCUGUUGAACAUUUUCCCAUGGAUCACCUGCUUCCCUGUCAUAGCUGCCAAUGACCACAGACAACCACAUGGUAAUAAAAUGCACCCGAAGUGCAGCAGUGCAGCGUCUGAACUACAGCCUUGGAGGCCGGCAUGCUCCGGGCCAUGUCCCCUUUGGGAGCUGAGGAGCCAGCAUGCGGGCAAGAACUGCCAUCGAGAGGGCACAGAACUCAAAGUGAGGAGUCCUGCCUGCUGUGUGACUUCAGAGCCCCAGAUGAGAGCAGGGAUCACCCUUUUCAAAAAAUCAAACAAGACAUGAACCAAAAUGCUCUGUCACUCCUGCCUCAUUCUAGCUGAUGUAACCGGGUACAGCUGAGAGGGCGUC